GGGGGGAACCCUGAUCCAGCCAUGCCGCGUGUGUGAAGAAGGCCUUUUGGUUGUAAAGCACUUUAAGCGAGGAGGAGGCUACUGGUAUUAAUACUACCGGAUAGUGGACGUUACUCGCAGAAUAAGCACCGGCUAACUCUGUGCCAGCAGCCGCGGUAAUACAGAGGGUGCGAGCGUUAAUCGGAUUUACUGGGCGUAAAGCGUGCGUAGGCGGCUUUUUAAGUCGGAUGUGAAAUCCCUGAGCUUAACUUAGGAAUUGCAUUCGAUACUGGGAGGCUAGAGUAUGGGAGAGGAUGGUAGAAUUCCAGGUGUAGCGGUGAAAUGCGUAGAGAUCUGGAGGAAUACCGAUGGCGAAGGCAGCCAUCUGGCCUAAUACUGACGCUGAGGUACGAAAGCAUGGGGAGCAAACAGGAUUAGAUACCCUGGUAGUCCAUGCCGUAAACGAUGUCUACUAGCCGUUGGGGCCUUUGAGGCUUUAGUGGCGCAGCUAACGCGAUAAGUAGACCGCCUGGGGAGU
This 517-nucleotide ribosomal RNA is filed under the name uncultured bacterium. Its description in RNAcentral is "bacterial SSU rRNA". It matches the Rfam family "Bacterial small subunit ribosomal RNA", at positions 373 to 881 of the family's 1533-position model. The record is from RNAcentral.